RNAcentral lists this ribosomal RNA (216 nucleotides) under Glomeromycotina sp. Its description in RNAcentral is "partial small subunit ribosomal RNA". The stretch from base 44 to 216 matches the Rfam family "Eukaryotic small subunit ribosomal RNA", at positions 690 to 864 of the family's 1831-position model. The record is from RNAcentral. Lineage: Eukaryota; Fungi; Glomeromycota.
GGGUCAGUAGGUUGGUCGUGCCACCGGUACGUACUGGUCUCACUGAUUCCUCCUUCCUGAAGAACCGUAAUGCCAUUAAUUUGGUGUUGCGGGGAAACAGGACUGUUACUUUGAAAAAAUUAGAGUGUUUAAAGCAAGCUAACGCUUGAAUACAUUAGCAUGGAAUACUGAAAUAGGACGAUCGAUCCUAUUUUGUUGGCUUCUAGGAUUGACGUA